This 518-nucleotide ribosomal RNA is filed under the name Montfortista panhi. RNAcentral's name for it is "eukaryotic LSU rRNA". It matches the Rfam family "Eukaryotic large subunit ribosomal RNA", at positions 675 to 1162 of the family's 3401-position model. Lineage: Eukaryota; Metazoa; Mollusca; Gastropoda; Lepetellida; Fissurellidae. The record is from RNAcentral.
CCGACACGUGCGCGAGUCAUGGGGUGUUACGAAACCUAAAGGCGCAACGAAAGUGAAGCGACGACAGUUCUUCUGUCGGCCCGGCGAGAUCUCCGGCGUAGGUGUCUGAGCGCAUCGCCGACCUGCCUUUUGCUUAGGUGGAGUCUGAGCGCACGUGUCGGGACCCGAAAGAUGGUGAUCUAUGCCUGAGGUGGAUGAAGCCAGAGGAAACUCUGGUGGAGGUCCUAAGCGAUUCUGACGUGCAAAUCGAUCGUGUCACUUGGGCAUAGGGGCGAAAGACCAAUCGAACCAUCUAGUAGCUGGUUCCCUCCGAAGUUUCCCUCAGGAUAGCUGGCGCUCGAAUGGAGACAGUUGCAUCCGGUAAAGCGAAUGAUUAGAGGUCAUGGGGGCGAAACGCCCUCGUCCUAUUCUCAAACUAUAAAUCGGGUGCGAUCCGUUGUCCUCUCCCUGGCGGGAGGCUUCGGCAGAAUGAGAGUGCUUAGUGGGCCACUUUUGGUAAGCAGAACUGGCGCUGUGGA